GACACGACUCUCGGCAACGGAUAUCUCGGCUCUCGCAUCGGUGAAGAACGUAGCGAAAUGCGAUACCUGGUGUGAAUUGCAGAAUCCCGCGAACCAUCGAGUCUUUGAACGCAAGUUGCGCCCGAGGCCACCCGGUCGAGGGCACGCCUGCCUGGGCGUCACGC
This 164-nucleotide ribosomal RNA is filed under the name Brachypodium flexum. RNAcentral describes it as "5.8S ribosomal RNA". It matches the Rfam family "5.8S ribosomal RNA". Rfam says of the family: 5.8S ribosomal RNA (5.8S rRNA) is a component of the large subunit of the eukaryotic ribosome. Lineage: Eukaryota; Viridiplantae; Streptophyta; Magnoliopsida; Poales; Poaceae. The record is from RNAcentral.